UCUAACCUUAACCGAGGAAACUGUCUACAACAUGGUAUGACAGUUAACUGUAAAUUGAAAACGAAAAAUAUUUUCCUCGUUCCAUAAGAGGUAAUUUUGCAGAUUUAAAUGGAUUUCUCGGAUAAGGUUAAACUAGAAAAACUGUGCAACAACGUGGUAUGGCCGUUAACCGGAAAUUCAAAAAUGAGAAAACUUGUACAAUUUGCUGUACAGGUAAUUAUGCUGAUGUUACAUAGAUUUUCCUUUUAAGGCUAAAUGAGAGAAACUACGUAACAACGUGCUAUGACUACUAAGGGGAAAUCCAAAAUGAAUAAAAUUGUAGAAUUUGCAUUAUAGAUAAUUAUACAGGUGAUAUAUGGAUUUCUCGGUAAAAGUUAACCGAGAUGAACUGUGUAACAACGUGGCUUGAAUGUUAAUCGGAAAUGUAAAAUGGAAAAAAUUGUAUAAUUUGCAUUUCAGGUAAUUCUAUAGAUUAUAUAUGUCUCUCUCGACCAGGGUUAACAGAGAAAAAUAGUGUAACAACAUGGUAUGACCGUUAACCGGAAAUUCAAAAUCGAAAAAUUUCUAUUUGUCCCAUGAUUGGUAAUUCUGCAAAUUUUAUAUGGCUUUC
Long non-coding RNA from Vespula pensylvanica (western yellowjacket), 610 nucleotides. RefSeq lists it as uncharacterized. The record is from RefSeq and is a predicted model, not a curated record. NCBI's taxonomy places the organism in Eukaryota, Metazoa, Arthropoda, Insecta, Hymenoptera, Vespidae. The transcript has 3 exons.